RNAcentral lists this ribosomal RNA (253 nucleotides) under uncultured bacterium. RNAcentral describes it as "partial 16S ribosomal RNA". It matches the Rfam family "Bacterial small subunit ribosomal RNA", at positions 524 to 776 of the family's 1533-position model. The record is from RNAcentral.
UACGAAGGGUGCAAACGUUGCUCGGAAUUAUUGGGCGUAAAGCGCACGUAGGCGGCAUUGCAAGUCGGGUGUGAGAGCCCUCAGCUCAACUGAGGAAGUGCGCCCGAAACUGCAGAGCUUGAGUACCGGAGAGGAUGGCGGAAUUCCCCAAGUAGAGGUGAAAUUCGUAGAUAUGGGGAGGAACACCGGUGGCGAAGGCGGCCAUCUGGACGGAUACUGACGCUGAGACGCGAAAGCGUGGGUAGCAAACAGG